CCCCCUUCGGCAGGCCUAUACAUGCAGUCGACGGUGUCUUCGGACAUAGUGGCGCACGGGUGCGUAACACGUAUGCAACCUACCUUACAUUGGGGGAUAGCCUUUCGAAAGGGAGAUUAAUACCGCAUAAGACAGUAGCUGGGCAUCCAGCAGCUGUUAAAGAUUUAUCGAUGUAAGCUGGGCAUGCGUCCAAUUAGCUAGUUGGUGAGGUAACGGCUCACCAAGGCUAUGAUUGGUAGGGGAACUGAGAGGUCAAUCCCCCACACUGGCACUGAGAUACGGGCCAGACUCCUACGGGAGGCAGCAGUAGGGAAUAUUGGGCAAUGGACGCAAGUCUGACCCAGCCAUGCCGCGUGCAGGAUGAAGGCGUUAUGCGUUGUAAACUGCUUUUAUACAGGAAGAAACGACUCUUGCGAGAGGCAUUGACGGUACUGUAUGAAUAAGCACCGGCUAACUCCGUGCCAGCAGCCGCGGUAAUACGGAGGGUGCAAGCGUUGUCCGGAUUUAUUGGGUUUAAAGGGUGCGCAGGUGGUUUAUUAAGUCAGUGGUGAAAGACGGUCGCUCAACGAUUGCAGUGCCAUUGAAACUGGUAGACUUGAGUAAAGUAGAGGUGGGCGGAAUUGAUAGUGUAGCGGUGAAAUGCAUAGAUAUUAUCAAGAACUCCAAUUGCGUAGGCAGCUCACUUGGCUUUUACUGACACUCAUGCACGAAAGUGUGGGUAUCAAACAGGAUUAGAUACCCUGGUAGUCCACACUGUAAACGAUGAUAACUAGGUGUCGGCCGAAUCUGGUCGGUGCCACAGCGAAAGCGUUAAGUUAUCCACCUGGGGAGUACGCCGGCAACGGUGAAACUCAAAGGAAUUGACGG
RNAcentral lists this ribosomal RNA (867 nucleotides) under uncultured Bacteroidota bacterium. RNAcentral's name for it is "bacterial SSU rRNA". It matches the Rfam family "Bacterial small subunit ribosomal RNA", at positions 33 to 916 of the family's 1533-position model. Lineage: Bacteria; Pseudomonadati; Bacteroidota. The record is from RNAcentral.